RNAcentral lists this ribosomal RNA (451 nucleotides) under uncultured bacterium. RNAcentral's name for it is "partial 16S ribosomal RNA". It matches the Rfam family "Bacterial small subunit ribosomal RNA", at positions 28 to 507 of the family's 1533-position model. The record is from RNAcentral.
GAUGAAUGCUGGCGGCGUGCCUAACACAUGCAAGUCGAGCGGCAGCGAGGGGUGCUUGCACCCUGUCGGCGAGCGGCGAACGGCUGAGUAACGCGUAGGAAUUUGCCCCAAGGUGAGGAAUAACUGCCCGAAAGGGUAGCUAAUGCCGCAUAUGGUCUUCGGAUUAAAGGAUUUAUCCGCUUUGGGAGAAGCCUGCGUUGGAUUAGGUUGUUGGUAGGGUAAUGGCCUACCAAGCCGACGAUCCAUAGCUGGUCUGAGAGGAUGAUCAGCCAGACUGGAACUGAGACACGGUCCAGACUCCUACGGGAGGCAGCAGUGAGGAAUCUUCCACAAUGGGCGAAAGCCUGAUGGAGCAACGCCGCGUGAAGGAUGAAGGCCUUCGGGUUGUAAACUUCUUUUAUGAGUGAAGAAUAUGACGGUAACUCAUGAAUAAGCACCGGCUAACUACGUG